AUCGCUUCUCGCCUUUUUGGCUAAGAUCAAAGUACCAGCUUAAUCUCUGGUACGGUCUCCAUAUGGAGACCCAGAAGAUUAAACUGAUUUUUGGAAAAUGACGGAGUGCUAGGAGCUUGCUCCAACUCUGUCGCGGGUUGACCCUUUAUUGCAGUACCUCCGGGAACAUCCCACUUUUU
This 179-nucleotide small nuclear RNA is filed under the name Rhodnius prolixus. RNAcentral's name for it is "U2 spliceosomal RNA". It matches the Rfam family "U2 spliceosomal RNA". Rfam says of the family: U2 is a small nuclear RNA (snRNA) component of the spliceosome (involved in pre-mRNA splicing). Lineage: Eukaryota; Metazoa; Arthropoda; Insecta; Hemiptera; Reduviidae. The record is from Rfam by way of RNAcentral.